Molecule: ribosomal RNA, 396 nt
Filed under: uncultured bacterium
Lineage: Bacteria
Description: bacterial SSU rRNA
Rfam family: Bacterial small subunit ribosomal RNA
Source: RNAcentral
AUUGAACGCUGGCGGCAUGCCUUACACAUGCAAGUCGAACGGCAGCACGGGAGCAAUCCUGGUGGCGAGUGGCGAACGGGUGAGUAAUAUAUCGGAACGUGCCCAGUCGUGGGGGAUAACGUAGCGAAAGCUACGCUAAUACCGCAUACGAUCUAUGGAUGAAAGCGGGGGAUCGCAAGACCUCGCGCGAUUGGAGCGGCCGAUAUCAGAUUAGGUAGUUGGUGAGGUAAAGGACUCACCAAGCCGACGAUCUGUAGCUGGUCUGAGAGGACGACCAGCCACACUGGGACUGAGACACGGCCCAGACUCCUACGGGAGGCAGCAGUGGGGAAUUUUUGGGACAAUGGGCGCAAGCCUGAUCCAGCAAUGCCGCGUGCAGGAUGAAGGCCUUCGGUU